GAUGAACGCUAGCUACAGGCCUAACACAUGCAAGUCGAGGGACCGGCGCACGGGUGAGUAACACGUAUCCAACCUGCCCUUUACUCGGGGAUAGCCUUUCGCAAGAAAGAUUAAUACCUGAUAUAAAGGAUGGGGAUGCGUUCGAUUAGUUUGUGGGUGAGGGAACGGCCCACCAAGCCUUCGAUGGAUAGGGGUUCUGAGAGGAAGUGCCCCCACAUUGUAACUGAGACGCGGUCCAAACGCGUACGGGAGGCAGCAGUGAAGAAUAUAUGGGAAGGGGCGUUAGCCUGACCCAGCCAAGUAGCGUAAAGGAUGAAGGGUUGUGGGACUGAAACUUCUUUUAUAUAAGAGUCUGUAUUAUAUGAAUAAGGAUCGGCUAACUCCGUGCCAGCAGCCGCGGUAAUAC
Molecule: ribosomal RNA, 406 nt
Filed under: uncultured bacterium
Lineage: Bacteria
Description: partial 16S ribosomal RNA
Rfam family: Bacterial small subunit ribosomal RNA
Source: RNAcentral